Long non-coding RNA from Marmota monax (woodchuck), 1567 nucleotides. RefSeq lists it as uncharacterized. Lineage: Eukaryota; Metazoa; Chordata; Mammalia; Rodentia; Sciuridae. The record is from RefSeq and is a predicted model, not a curated record. The transcript has 5 exons.
AGUACACUCCAUCAGCCGGUCACAGGUCUGCCACCCUAGAGCCAUGUGGAUCCAGAACAUGAAGAGGCUUUAACGUCAUAACGUUCUCUUGCAUCUACCUGCCCUUUGCCGGAGCAUGAAUGAGGAAGCACAGCCUCAGUUCUGCCUAAAGCCAUUCUUGACCUUGAGGCAAACCACUGCAAGGAAGAUGAUGCCCAGGGAAUCACCAGGCUCUGGCGGGAACCCUGACUGCACCACAUCUGAAGCCUCCUCACCUUUCAAGCUCUCAGUUUUAAGCAACCAAUAAACCCUCUUUACUGCUGAAGCCAGCGUGGGUUAGGUUUGCUAUAACUUGCUACAGAAGGUCUCCUGGGUGAUUCAAAAGCCUCCUGGUGCACUUGGAAUUGCAUCCAGAUGCCCUACCUUGGCAUUAAAGGCCCACUAAAUUCUAAGAUCAGUGAGUGGUGGGCCAAGAGCUAGAUUUUCAUUGGCCCCGGUAUUACCAGCCCUUGCUAGCAUGAAGCAGGCACUCUGUUAAUUUUUUUCUUUUCUUUUUUCUUUUUUUUUUUUUUUGAAUGAGUGAACCCAGGUCUCUCUCCAGUACAUUAUCUGGAAACAGAAGACUCCCCUGACCCCCCAGUCCUGCUGCAUCUUCUGCUGGAGCCACCUCUGCACACAGGCAGCAGGGGUCAGUGAGGACCAAGGUGCAGGACUGUGCAAACAUGCCCAGGAAGUGGAGCUGGAAUGGUCUGGAAGUCUCACAAGUAGAUCAGCAGGGCCUCUGAGCCAUCAUGGUUUGGGCCAAGAUGCAUGUGACCGUGGGUGCUCUCUCUGUGCGGGAGGAAGAUCCAGCUUCAGGUUUACAAAGCACUUUGGAACAGGCUAUGUCAAAACUGGUCUGAAACUGAAGGCCCGUGCUCAUCCUCCUAAGCCUGCUUCGCUUUCCGUUCUCAACAAAUAGCACUGAUAUCUGCUUCGCACUCAACUGGAAAACACUUGGGAGCUUCAUCCAUGUCUAUUCUGCCCAUAUGCAAAUGUGAGCAAAGGCAGCUGAGGACCUGAGAAAUGUCUCCAGGUUUACAGGAACCAGAAACUCCUGAGACUCCUGGUGACCUAUAGACAACACCGAAACUACGUCAAAAGACUCAAUUACUGCAAGAAUUGGUGCCCACCUGGCUGUGACUAAAAUUAGAUCCUCAGAAACACUUGGUUAUACUUUUGCACCUGAAAACCCCUGGCAAGAUGGAAUUUGGUGACAGCCCUACAUCUUCCACCUGCUAACCUAUUGCCAAACUCUUUCUUCUCCUGUCACCCUGCUUUGGAGUUAUUGGCUUCAUUGGGUGGCAUCAGAACUGGACCUUUCAUGACCACAGGCUCAGUAAAGAUGUAAUGCAAAAAAAAAAAAGAGCCUCAAGGUCUGCAGGCUGAGUUUAAAUCAUAUUUCUCAUCUCAUUUUGUGCAGAUCACUUCAUCUGUGCCUCUGUAUUUCUGCAUAUGUAAAAAUGGGCUUAUAGUACCUGUUGGGUUAAGGUUGUUUUGAAGGUGCAAUAAGAUCACCUGGAAAUAUAUUAACGAUUUGCUUCCUGGC